Diceros bicornis minor is the source of this 782-nucleotide non-coding RNA. Lineage: Eukaryota; Metazoa; Chordata; Mammalia; Perissodactyla; Rhinocerotidae. The record is from the annotation of a RefSeq genome assembly.
CAUGGGGCGGAUACAGGAACAGGGGCAAAUAAGGGAAUACCACAUCUGCCUCAUACCUGAUCCAGCCCAGCCCAGACUCCCCUGCCAAGUAAGAAACUGUGUCUAUUAUCACACCAAGGAGUGACCCUCGUCCUGGUGAGGUCAACAGCAGCACUGUCACCAUAGGCAGAUCUACCUAUCGGGAACUGGGGACUCUCUGCACUCCUACCUCUCAACCCAGAGUCUGCCAUAGACAGAAGACCUAAUCCUGUUGUGACUCUGUCAUGGGUCUCAGGCUUCUCCACUGCAUGGCCCUUUGUCUCCUUGGAGCAGGUCACAUGAGUGCCAUGGUCACCCAGAACCCAAGAUACCAGGUUACCAGGGAGGGAAAACCAGUGACCCUGAGUUGUUCUCAGAAUCUGAAUCAUGAUACCAUGUACUGGUACCAACAGAAGCUGAGCCAAGCACCAAAGCUGCUGUUCUACUACUAUGCUCAGAAAAUUUACAAUGAAACAGACACCUCUGACAACUUCCAACCCAGAUGGUUUAACACGUCCUUCUGUUCUCUUGGCAUCCGCUCACCAGGCUUGAGGGACUCAGCAGUGUAUCUCUGUGCCAGCAGCAUGGACACAGAGCUAAAGUGUUACCUCCCCUCUGCUCAUAAACCUUUCUGUUUCCCAGAUCCAAGAGCCUUCUUAGACCUCCCUCCCCUCCCUCAGCAGCAACAGGAAGUCCCGCUCCUCCCUUCCCUGGAGGAGGAGGUGGAGGAGAAAAACUGCGAGGGGGACAAAAGAGCACAGUGA